CAGUCGCCGCGGGAAUACAGAGGGUGCGAGCGUUAAUCGGAUUUACUGGGCGUAAAGCGUGCGUAGGCGGCUUCUUAAGUCGGAUGUGAAAUCCCUGAGCUUAACUUAGGAAUUGCAUUCGAUACUGGGAAGCUAGAGUAUGGGAGAGGAUGGUAGAAUUCCAGGUGUAGCGGUGAAAUGCGUAGAUCUGGAGGAAUACCGAUGGCGAAGGCAGCCAUCUGGCCUAAUACUGACGCUGAGGUACGAAAGCAUGGGGAGCAAACAGGAUUAGAUACCCGAGUAGUCCCUGUCUCUUAUACAC
RNAcentral lists this ribosomal RNA (301 nucleotides) under uncultured bacterium. RNAcentral describes it as "partial 16S ribosomal RNA". It matches the Rfam family "Bacterial small subunit ribosomal RNA", at positions 509 to 809 of the family's 1533-position model. The record is from RNAcentral.